CACGACUACGAGUUUGAUCCUGGCUCAGGAUGAACGCUAGCGGCAGGCUUAAUACAUGCAAGUCGAGGGGCAGCACGGGUAGCAAUACCUGGUGGCGACCGGCAAACGGGUGCGGAACACGUACGCAACCUUCCCAUAACUGGUGAAUAGCCCUCCGAAAGGAGGAUUAAUACGCCGUAACUUAACGAAGUGGCAUCACUUUGUUAAUAUAGGCUUCGGUCGGUUUUUGGAUGGGCGUGCGCCUGAUUAGGUAGUUGGCGGGGUAACGGCCCACCAAGCCUGCGAUCAGUAACUGGUGUGAGAGCACGACCAGUCACACGGGCACUGAGACACGGGCCCGACUCCUACGGGAGGCAGCAGUAAGGAAUAUUGGUCAAUGGACGAAAGUCUGAACCAGCCAUGCCGCGUGAAGGAUUAAGGCCCUCUGGGUUGUAAACUUCUUUUAUCUGGGACGAAAAAAGGGUAUUCUUACUCACUUGACGGUACCAGAGGAAUAAGCACCGGCUAACUCCGUG
This 515-nucleotide ribosomal RNA is filed under the name uncultured bacterium. Its description in RNAcentral is "bacterial SSU rRNA". It matches the Rfam family "Bacterial small subunit ribosomal RNA", at positions 1 to 507 of the family's 1533-position model. The record is from RNAcentral.